UGGAUGGAGGGCAGUGAGAGGAUGUGUGUGAACUUUCUGUCAUGAAGGGCAAUUUGCAGGAACUAAUCAUCUUACAAUAGUUGGUCAUAAGAAAGAAAUCCAUCAGCCAAGCAUCCUGAAUAGGCUGCAGUGAGAAGAAUGCCUCCAGGACAAGUGGCUGUCAGGAGUGGGGAAAUCUAGGAAUAUUCUGGACAGGAUGCUGCUCAUGCCCGCCAGAGAGAACUUCCCAACACCUGUCUUUCCAGGGAGUACUGGAACACUAAAGUUACCUGCAUCAGGUCUGGGAAGGACAAGAUAAAAGAGACUUCCAAGCAUGGGAAAGAGUAGGCCAUUGCUCCAGUGGCAGUGAGGCUAAGGACAGAAGACAGAGAGAACCAGUAGAGGACCAUCUUCACAGGGACAUGACGGUGGACUCCAGGGAUAGUGAUGUAUGGUAUCUUGUUUUAGAUUUCCUUUUCUCUGUAGUAGUUUGUUGAACAUCAUUACCUCAUGUUGUUGUGUUAGUAAAUAUUGAUGAAUGAAGAGAAGGUUCUGUAGCCAUGCUUUGGGGGAAAGUGGAAUAAAAAGGCUG
Molecule: long non-coding RNA, 571 nt
Filed under: Equus asinus (donkey)
Lineage: Eukaryota; Metazoa; Chordata; Mammalia; Perissodactyla; Equidae
Description: lncRNA (ENSEASG00005033883.1)
Source: RNAcentral